GAUGAACGCUGGCGGCGUGCCUAAUACAUGCAAGUCGAGCGAACAGACGAGGAGCUUGCUCCUCUGACGUUAGCGGCGGACGGGUGAGUAACACGUGGAUAACCUACCUAUAAGACUGGGAUAACUUCGGGAAACCGGAGCUAAUACCGGAUAAUAUAUUGAACCGCAUGGUUCAAUAGUGAAAGACGGUUUUGCUGUCACUUAUAGCUGGAUCCGCGCCGCAUUAGCUAGUUGGUACGGUAACGGCUUACCAAGGCAACGAUGCGUAGCCGACCUGAGAGGGUGAUCGGCCACACUGGAACGGAGACACGGUCCAGACUCCUACGGGAGGCAGCAGUAGGGAAUCUUCCGCAAUGGGCGAAAGCCUGACGGAGCAACGCCGCGUGAGUGAUGAAGGUCUUCGGAUCGUAAAACUCUGUUAUUAGGGAAGAACAAAUGUGUAAGUAACUAUGCACGUCUUGACGGUACCUAAUCAGAAAGCCACGGCUAACUACGUG
RNAcentral lists this ribosomal RNA (497 nucleotides) under uncultured bacterium. RNAcentral's name for it is "partial 16S ribosomal RNA". It matches the Rfam family "Bacterial small subunit ribosomal RNA", at positions 28 to 507 of the family's 1533-position model. The record is from RNAcentral.